AAAAUUCUGUGAACUCAGCAGUGGCUGAUGACCUUCCUGUUGCAGAGUGAACUCUCGGUGCAUUUGUUCAUUGAAGCUGCCAGCAAAGCUUCCAGGAGACUGUAUGUGCUCUGUCUGCAUGUUCUUCAGAAUAGUUGGGUCUUGCUCAGAGGAGAUGUUUUCCUUGGUCACAAGCAAUGAAGAUAUGUUUCCUCCUUUGAUGUGGACAUUCAGAAAUGAUGCCUCAGUGACUAUAGAUGUAUUGGCAUGGUGGCUCCAGCAGAUAGAAGGGCCAGAUGUACCUGUGAAUACUAGGCAGAAGAAGACUUGCAGGCCUAAAAUUAAGUGGCAGUGGUAGCAGAGAGUCAAAAAGAAAGUGACAGGUGGGGACAGAGAUUCUGAAAAG
This is a long non-coding RNA of Mauremys mutica (yellowpond turtle), 385 nucleotides long. RefSeq lists it as uncharacterized. The transcript is spliced from 3 exons. Lineage: Eukaryota; Metazoa; Chordata; Testudines; Geoemydidae. The record is from RefSeq and is a predicted model, not a curated record.